Molecule: long non-coding RNA, 382 nt
Filed under: Olea europaea subsp. europaea
Lineage: Eukaryota; Viridiplantae; Streptophyta; Magnoliopsida; Lamiales; Oleaceae
Source: RNAcentral
CUUGGAGGUGCUUAGAAACAUUCUUUCGCCCUACUUUUCUUUGUACGCAGCCUCUUGGUUGAACGGGUUAGUUUUUCUUUCUCCUUUGCGUGUUUUAUUUUUUAUUUUUAGUUUUAUGUAGUUUUUCUGUUUUCUCGCCUUCAAUUUAGUUUUAUUUGAUGUUGUUCGUGUUUCUUUUAUGUUUUGGUGUUCUGAGUAGUUGUAAUAAAUCGAUGUUAUUUUGCUGUGAUUUUUGCAGAUUUUCGAAAGUACUCAAAUUCGGCUUAGGUUCUUUCAGAUCUUGUGGUUUUCAGCGGUAUAAUACUAGAAUUAAAGACCGGGAUUUGUUUUCUUUGAUCAAAGUUCUAUGAUUCUGAUAAAUUUUCUUCGUAUAUCCAAAUGG